GAUGAACGCUGGCGGCGUGCCUAACACAUGCAAGUCGAGCGAACCCUUCGGGGUGAGCGGCGGACGGGUGAGUAACGCGUGGGUAACCUGCCCUGUACACACGGAUAACAUACCGAAAGGUAUGCUAAUACGAGAUAAUAUAUUUUAAUCGCAUGGUUAAGAUAUCAAAGCUCCGGCGGUACAGGAUGGACCCGCGUCUGAUUAGCUAGUUGGUGAGGUAAUGGCUCACCAAGGCGACGAUCAGUAGCCGACCUGAGAGGGUGAUCGGCCACACUGGAACUGAGACACGGUCCAGACUCCUACGGGAGGCAGCAGUGGGGAAUAUUGCACAAUGGGCGAAAGCCUGAUGCAGCAACGCCGCGUGAGCGAUGAAGGCCUC
This 379-nucleotide ribosomal RNA is filed under the name uncultured bacterium. Its description in RNAcentral is "bacterial SSU rRNA". It matches the Rfam family "Bacterial small subunit ribosomal RNA", at positions 28 to 418 of the family's 1533-position model. The record is from RNAcentral.